AUACGUAGGUCACGAGCGUUAUCCGGAAUUAUUGGGCGUAAAGAGUGAGCAGGCGGUGAAGUAAGUCUGGAGUGAAAGCGUGGGGCUCAACCCCAUACAGCUUUGGAAACUACUUCGCUAGAGUACGAGAGAAGUAAGCGGAAUUCCAUGUGUAGCGGUGAAAUGCGUAGAUAUAUGGAGGAACACCGGUGGCGAAGGCGGCUUACUAGCUCGAUACUGACGCUCAGUCACGAAAGCGUGGGGAGC
RNAcentral lists this ribosomal RNA (246 nucleotides) under uncultured bacterium. Its description in RNAcentral is "partial 16S ribosomal RNA". It matches the Rfam family "Bacterial small subunit ribosomal RNA", at positions 523 to 769 of the family's 1533-position model. The record is from RNAcentral.